CGCGUAGGCGGCCUGCUAAGUCUGAAGUGAAAGUCCUGCUUUCAAGGUGGGAAGUGCUUUGGAUACUGGUGGGCUGGAGUGCAGGAGAGGAAAGCGGAAUUACCGGUGUAGCGGUGAAAUGCGUAGAGAUCGGUAGGAACACCAGUGGCGAAGGCGGCUUUCUGGACUGAAACUGACGCUGAGGCGCGAAAGCGUGGGGAGCAAACA
RNAcentral lists this ribosomal RNA (207 nucleotides) under uncultured bacterium. RNAcentral describes it as "partial 16S ribosomal RNA". It matches the Rfam family "Bacterial small subunit ribosomal RNA", at positions 568 to 774 of the family's 1533-position model. The record is from RNAcentral.